This 497-nucleotide ribosomal RNA is filed under the name uncultured bacterium. RNAcentral's name for it is "partial 16S ribosomal RNA". It matches the Rfam family "Bacterial small subunit ribosomal RNA", at positions 28 to 507 of the family's 1533-position model. The record is from RNAcentral.
GAUGAACGCUGGCGGCGUGCCUAAUACAUGCAAGUCGAGCGAACAGAUGAGGAGCUUGCUCCUCUGACGUUAGCGGCGGACGGGUGAGUAACACGUGGAUAACCUACCUAUAAGACUGGGAUAACUUCGGGAAACCGGAGCUAAUACCGGAUAAUAUAUUGAACCGCAUGGUUCAAUAGUGAAAGACGGUUUUGCUGUCACUUAUAGAUGGAUCCGCGCCGCAUUAGCUAGUUGGAAAGGUAACGGCUUACCAAGGCGACGAUGCGUAGCCGACCUGAGAGGGUGAUCGGCCACACUGGAACUGAGACACGGUCCAGACUCCUACGGGAGGCAGCAGUAGGGAAUCUUCCGCAAUGGGCGAAAGCCUGACGGAGCAACGCCGCGUGAGUGAUGAAGGUCUUCGGAUCGUAAAACUCUGUUAUUAGGGAAGAACAAAUGUGUAAGUAACUAUGCACGUCUUGACGGUACCUAAUCAGAAAGCCACGGCUAACUACGUG